CAAUCUCCGUCUGCAGACGAUAAACCAGCCUGCAAAACCUCCACCUCAACCUCGAUCUGCAGAGCUUCAACCAGCCUGCAAAACCUCCACCUCAACCUCGAUCUGCAGAGAUUAAACCAGCCUGCAAAACCUCAACCUCCAUCUGCAGAGAUUAAACCAGCCUGCAAAACCUCCACCUCAACCUCCAUCUGCAGAGAUUAAACCAGCCUGCAAAACCUCCACCACACUCUCCAUUAUGGGGUUUCCCAGGCUGGUUACCGGAGCACAGAGUGCGACGAUAUGAUCCUCUCAUGCCGACUAUAUGUUCAACUUUGGAGCACCAAGAUGACGCACUGGGAAGCUACGGAGUAAAGCCAGAGAGCAGCGAGAACUUUAGCGGGCAGGACUAACAGAAAAUGUCCAUGCUGUCAAGAUGAGCAGACUAGAAAACGCCAUCGCUCUCCUGACUCUGCCAGUCCUGCCCAGAAGAGGAGGCGUUCAAAGGCAGCCAGUCCGUACCAACCUGAAAGGCUGAUUGCUAAGCCUCGGGCUCCCAUCGACCCGGCAGACCUCCCAGCAGUCUCUCAUCUGCCAAUCCUGAACCAGUCCUCAACUGCUGCUGUGCAGGACAAUCAGCCUGUGAGGAUUCACAAUCACACAGUAGAAGAGUACCAGCAGAUUCAUCAGGAAGUGGUCGAUGA
Cyprinodon tularosa is the source of this 680-nucleotide long non-coding RNA. RefSeq lists it as uncharacterized. The transcript has 4 exons. NCBI's taxonomy places the organism in Eukaryota, Metazoa, Chordata, Actinopteri, Cyprinodontiformes, Cyprinodontidae. The record is from RefSeq and is a predicted model, not a curated record.